This 24-nucleotide microRNA is filed under the name Equus caballus (horse). RNAcentral describes it as "eca-miR-9077". Lineage: Eukaryota; Metazoa; Chordata; Mammalia; Perissodactyla; Equidae. The record is from miRBase by way of RNAcentral.
UCUGAGGGCUUUUGCAGGGAGCAA